RNAcentral lists this ribosomal RNA (252 nucleotides) under uncultured bacterium. RNAcentral's name for it is "partial 16S ribosomal RNA". It matches the Rfam family "Bacterial small subunit ribosomal RNA", at positions 524 to 776 of the family's 1533-position model. The record is from RNAcentral.
GACAGAGGAUGCAAGCGUUAUCCGGAAUGAUUGGGCGUAAAGCGUCUGUAGGUGGCUUUUUAAGUCCGCCGUCAAAUCCCAGGGCUCAACCCUGGACAGGCGGUGGAAACUACCAAGCUGGAGUACGGUAGGGGCAGAGGGAAUUUCCGGUGGAGCGGUGAAAUGCGUAGAGAUCGGAAAGAACACCAACGGCGAAAGCACUUUACUGGGCUAUUACUGACACUGAGAGACGAAAGCAGGGUAGCAAAUGGG